This 301-nucleotide ribosomal RNA is filed under the name uncultured bacterium. Its description in RNAcentral is "partial 16S ribosomal RNA". It matches the Rfam family "Bacterial small subunit ribosomal RNA", at positions 509 to 807 of the family's 1533-position model. The record is from RNAcentral.
CAGCAGCCGCGGUAAGACAGAGGAUGCAAGCGUUAUCCGGAAUGAUUGGGCGUAAAGCGUCUGUAGGUGGCUUUUCAAGUCCGCCGUCAAAUCCCAGGGCUCAACCCUGGACAGGCGGUGGAAACUACCAAGCUGGAGUACGGUAGGGGCAGAGGGAAUUUCCAGUGGAGCGGUGAAAUGCGUUGAGAUCGAAAAGAACACCAACAGCGAAAGCACUCUGCUGGGACGACACUGACACUAAGAGACGAAAGCUAGGGGAGCAAAUGGGAUUAGAUACCCCUGUAGUCCCUGUCUCUUAUAC